RNAcentral lists this ribosomal RNA (228 nucleotides) under uncultured bacterium. RNAcentral's name for it is "partial 16S ribosomal RNA". It matches the Rfam family "Bacterial small subunit ribosomal RNA", at positions 118 to 347 of the family's 1533-position model. The record is from RNAcentral.
UGAGUAACCUGCCCUCCACUCUGGGAUAAGCCCGGGAAACUGGGUCUAAUACCGGAUAUGACCUCCUGUCUCACGGCGGGUGGUGGAAAGUUUUUUCGGUGGGGGAUGGACUCGCGGCCUAUCAGCUUGUUGGUGAGGUAAUGGCUUACCAAGGCGACGACGGGUAGCCGGCCUGAGAGGGCGACCGGCCACACUGGGACUGAGACACGGCCCAGACUCCUACGGGAG